UACGAAGGGGGCUAGCGUUGCUCGGAAUCACUGGGCGUAAAGCGCACGUAGGCGGAUCCUUAAGUCGGGGGUGAAAUCCUGGAGCUCAACUCCAGAACUGCCUUCGAUACUGGCGAUCUCGAGUCCGGAAGAGGUGAGUGGAACUCCUAGUGUAGAGGUGGAAUUCGUAGAUAUUAGGAAGAACACCAGUGGCGAAGGCGGCUCACUGGUCCGGUACUGACGCUGAGGUGCGAAAGCGUGGGGAGCAAACAGG
This 253-nucleotide ribosomal RNA is filed under the name uncultured bacterium. RNAcentral describes it as "partial 16S ribosomal RNA". It matches the Rfam family "Bacterial small subunit ribosomal RNA", at positions 524 to 776 of the family's 1533-position model. The record is from RNAcentral.